This 439-nucleotide ribosomal RNA is filed under the name uncultured bacterium. RNAcentral's name for it is "partial 16S ribosomal RNA". It matches the Rfam family "Bacterial small subunit ribosomal RNA", at positions 339 to 795 of the family's 1533-position model. The record is from RNAcentral.
CUACGGGGCGCUGCAGUGAGGAAUAUUGCACAAUGGGGGGAACCCUGAUGCAGCAACGCCGCGUGGAGGAUGACGCAUUUCGGUGUGUAAACUCCUUUUAUAUGUCAAGAAAAUGACGGUAGCAUAUGAAUAAGCACCGGCUAACUCCGUGCCAGCAGCCGCGGUAAUACGGAGGGUGCAAGCGUUACUCGGAAUCACUGGGCGUAAAGGACGCGUAGGCGGGUUGGAAAGUCAGGUGUGAAAUCCUACAGCUUAACUGUAGAACUGCACUUGAAACUUCUAAUCUAGAGUAUGGGAGGGGGAGAUGGAAUUAGUGGUGUAGGGGUAAUAUCCGUAGAUAUCACUAGGAAUACCUAAAGCGAAGGCGAUCUCCUGGAACAUUACUGACGCUAAGGCGUGAAAGCGUGGGGAGCAAACAGGAUUAGAUACCCUCGUAGUC